AUGUACACCUACGUUAGUCAAGUGUUGAUGUUUUCCAGCCAGAAUACCUCAGCAGAACAGCUGCUGGGCUUGGGGGCCACCGAGAAACCUCAGAGAGAUGGAACCAGCAUCUGCAGGCAGGGCAGGACGGCGGCUCGGACGGCCAAGCAUGAGAACCUGCAGCGAAGCGGAUGUGAGGCCCUGCUCAGUGCUCCUCCUCCGGUCCAGAGGAGAUCCAGGUCUCUGGAUCGGAGGACAUCGGACAUCGUCAUGACUUUCUGAAAAACGCUGUGAGGUAAGAGGAUGCAGAAUACACCCGAGGGAAAAGCCGAAAGAGAAGAUUCAUUAAAUAAAAAA
RNAcentral lists this long non-coding RNA (336 nucleotides) under Nothobranchius furzeri (turquoise killifish). RNAcentral's name for it is "lncRNA (ENSNFUG00015010251.1)". Lineage: Eukaryota; Metazoa; Chordata; Actinopteri; Cyprinodontiformes; Nothobranchiidae. The record is from RNAcentral.